Molecule: long non-coding RNA, 270 nt
Organism: Cottoperca gobio
Lineage: Eukaryota; Metazoa; Chordata; Actinopteri; Perciformes; Bovichtidae
Exons: 3
Source: RefSeq, a predicted model, not a curated record
UGCCUUAGGAGCGUCUUUUUAAAAAUAUUGCUGAAAAGAGGAUAUUUAUGAGGCUUUAUAGACCGGCAUGGCAGUGGAUCACAGAACAUGAGGGACACAAAGGCAAGAAUGAUGAAACCAAGAAAAAGACUGAGUGCGACAGAAACUUGGAGUAGAGGAUGUGCACAAAGAUAUAUUCUUGCAUUUUCUCUUCCUGUUGCUAGAUCUGCCAGUGAUCUGAUUGAUUUCAAAGUAUUUUAUCUGUAUGAUGUGUGCAAUACUGCUUUAAAA